Molecule: non-coding RNA, 77 nt
Organism: Lupinus albus (white lupine)
Lineage: Eukaryota; Viridiplantae; Streptophyta; Magnoliopsida; Fabales; Fabaceae
Source: the annotation of a GenBank genome assembly
AGUCUGGGUGGUGUAGUUGGUUAUCACGUUAGUCUCACAAACUAAAGGUCCCAUUUCGAACCUGGGAUCAUACAUUA